This 2527-nucleotide ribosomal RNA is filed under the name Escherichia coli. RNAcentral's name for it is "partial 23S ribosomal RNA". It matches the Rfam family "Bacterial large subunit ribosomal RNA", at positions 418 to 2925 of the family's 2925-position model. The record is from RNAcentral. Lineage: Bacteria; Pseudomonadati; Pseudomonadota; Gammaproteobacteria; Enterobacterales; Enterobacteriaceae.
CGGGACACGUGGUAUCCUGUCUGAAUAUGGGGGGACCAUCCUCCAAGGCUAAAUACUCCUGACUGACCGAUAGUGAACCAGUACCGUGAGGGAAAGGCGAAAAGAACCCCGGCGAGGGGAGUGAAAAAGAACCUGAAACCGUGUACGUACAAGCAGUGGGAGCCUCUUAAUGGGGUGACUGCGUACCUUUUGUAUAAUGGGUCAGCGACUUAUAUUCUGUAGCAAGGUUAACCGAAUAGGGGAGCCGAAGGGAAACCGAGUCUUAACUGGGCGUUAAGUUGCAGGGUAUAGACCCGAAACCCGGUGAUCUAGCCAUGGGCAGGUUGAAGGUUGGGUAACACUAACUGGAGGACCGAACCGACUAAUGUUGAAAAAUUAGCGGAUGACUUGUGGCUGGGGGUGAAAGGCCAAUCAAACCGGGAGAUAGCUGGUUCUCCCCGAAAGCUAUUUAGGUAGCGCCUCGUGAAUUCAUCUCCGGGGGUAGAGCACUGUUUCGGCAAGGGGGUCAUCCCGACUUACCAACCCGAUGCAAACUGCGAAUACCGGAGAAUGUUAUCACGGGAGACACACGGCGGGUGCUAACGUCCGUCGUGAAGAGGGAAACAACCCAGACCGCCAGCUAAGGUCCCAAAGUCAUGGUUAAGUGGGAAACGAUGUGGGAAGGCCCAGACAGCCAGGAUGUUGGCUUAGAAGCAGCCAUCAUUUAAAGAAAGCGUAAUAGCUCACUGGUCGAGUCGGCCUGCGCGGAAGAUGUAACGGGGCUAAACCAUGCACCGAAGCUGCGGCAGCGACACUAUGUGUUGUUGGGUAGGGGAGCGUUCUGUAAGCCUGUGAAGGUGGCCUGUGAGGGUUGCUGGAGGUAUCAGAAGUGCGAAUGCUGACAUAAGUAACGAUAAAGCGGGUGAAAAGCCCGCUCGCCGGAAGACCAAGGGUUCCUGUCCAACGUUAAUCGGGGCAGGGUGAGUCGACCCCUAAGGCGAGGCCGAAAGGCGUAGUCGAUGGGAAACAGGUUAAUAUUCCUGUACUUGGUGUUACUGCGAAGGGGGGACGGAGAAGGCUAUGUUGGCCGGGCGACGGUUGUCCCGGUUUAAGCGUGUAGGCUGGUUUUCCAGGCAAAUCCGGAAAAUCAAGGCUGAGGCGUGAUGACGAGGCACUACGGUGCUGAAGCGACAAAUGCCCUGCUUCCAGGAAAAGCCUCUAAGCAUCAGGUAACAUUAAAUCGUACCCCAAACCGACACAGGUGGUCAGGUAGAGAAUACCAAGGCGCUUGAGAGAACUCGGGUGAAGGAACUAGGCAAAAUGGUGCCGUAACUUCGGGAGAAGGCACGCUGAUAUGUAGGUGAAGCGACUUGCUCGUGGAGCUGAAAUCAGUCGAAGAUACCAGCUGGCUGCAACUGUUUAUUAAAAACACAGCACUGUGCAAACACGAAAGUGGACGUAUACGGUGUGACGCCUGCCCGGUGCCGGAAGGUUAAUUGAUGGGGUUAGCGGCAACGCGAAGCUCUUGAUCGAAGCCCCGGUAAACGGCGGCCGUAACUAUAACGGUCCUAAGGUAGCGAAAUUCCUUGUCGGGUAAGUUCCGACCUGCACGAAUGGCGUAAUGAUGGCCAGGCUGUCUCCACCCGAGACUCAGUGAAAUUGAACUCGCUGUGAAGAUGCAGUGUACCCGCGGCAAGACGGAAAGACCCCGUGAACCUUUACUAUAGCUUGACACUGAACAUUGAGCCUUGAUGUGUAGGAUAGGUGGGAGGCUUUGAAGUGUGGACGCCAGUCUGCAUGGAGCCGACCUUGAAAUACCACCCUUUAAUGUUUGAUGUUCUAACGUGGGCCCGUAAUCCGGGUUGCGGACAGUGUCUGGUGGGUAGUUUGACUGGGGCGGUCUCCUCCUAAAGAGUAACGGAGGAGCACGAAGGUUGGCUAAUCCUGGUCGGACAUCAGGAGGUUAGUGCAAUGGCAUAAGCCAGCUUGACUGCGAGCGUGACGGCGCGAGCAGGUGCGAAAGCAGGUCAUAGUGAUCCGGUGGUUCUGAAUGGAAGGGCCAUCGCUCAACGGAUAAAAGGUACUCCGGGGAUAACAGGCUGAUACCGCCCAAGAGUUCAUAUCGACGGCGGUGUUUGGCACCUCGAUGUCGGCUCAUCACAUCCUGGGGCUGAAGUAGGUCCCAAGGGUAUGGCUGUUCGCCAUUUAAAGUGGUACGCGAGCUGGGUUUAGAACGUCGUGAGACAGUUCGGUCCCUAUCUGCCGUGGGCGCUGGAGAACUGAGGGGGGCUGCUCCUAGUACGAGAGGACCGGAGUGGACGCAUCACUGGUGUUCGGGUUGUCAUGCCAAUGGCACUGCCCGGUAGCUAAAUGCGGAAGAGAUAAGUGCUGAAAGCAUCUAAGCACGAAACUUGCCCCGAGAUGAGUUCUCCCUGACCCUUUAAGGGUCCUGAAGGAACGUUGAAGACGACGACGUUGAUAGGCCGGGUGUGUAAGCGCAGCGAUGCGUUGAGCUAACCGGUACUAAUGAACCGUGAGGCUUAACCUU